RNAcentral lists this ribosomal RNA (253 nucleotides) under uncultured bacterium. RNAcentral describes it as "partial 16S ribosomal RNA". It matches the Rfam family "Bacterial small subunit ribosomal RNA", at positions 524 to 776 of the family's 1533-position model. The record is from RNAcentral.
UACGUAGGGUGCGAGCGUUGUCCGGAAUUAUUGGGCGUAAAGGGCUCGUAGGCGGUUCGUCACGUCGGGAGUGAAAACUCGGGGCUUAACCCCGAGCCUGCUUCCGAUACGGGCAGACUAGAGGUAGGCAGGGGAGAGCGGAACUCCUGGUGUAGCGGUGGAAUGCGCAGAUAUCAGGAAGAACACCGGUGGCGAAGGCGGCUCUCUGGGCCUUACCUGACGCUGAGGAGCGAAAGCGUGGGGAGCGAACAGG